GUCUUCUGCCAUGCCACCCUGAAUGUGCCCGAUCCCAACUGAUCUCGGAAGCUAAGCAGGGUCGGGCCUGGUUAGUACUUGGAUGGAAGACCACCUAGGAAAACCAGGUGCUUGUAGGCG
This 120-nucleotide ribosomal RNA is filed under the name Pteropus alecto (black flying fox). Lineage: Eukaryota; Metazoa; Chordata; Mammalia; Chiroptera; Pteropodidae. The record is from RNAcentral. RNAcentral also lists the same sequence under 1 other name.